AAGCCCCAGUAAACGGCGGCCGUAACUAUAACGGUCCUAAGGUAGCGAAAUUCCUUGUCAGGUAAGUUCUGACCCGCACGAAUGGCGUAACGAUUUGGGCACUGUCUCAACAGCCCGCCCGGCGAAAUUGUAGUACCGGUGAAGAUGCCGGUUUCCCGCAACUAGACGGAAAGACCCCAUGGAGCUUCACUGUAGCUUGAUAUUGGAUCUCGGUAUUCCAUGUACAGGAUAGGUGGGAGGCUAGGAAGCGAGCGCGCCAGCGUUCGUGGAGCCAACCUUGGGAUACCACUCUUGGGAUAUUGGGAUUCUAACCUGCGACCAUGAAUCUGGUCGGGGGACACUGUCAGGUGGGCAGUUUGACUGGGGCGGUCGCCUCCAAAAGAGUAACGGAGGCGCUCAAAGGUUCGUUCAGCACGGAUGGAAAUCGUGCACUGAGUGUAAACGCAUAAACGAGCCUAACUGCGAGAAUGACGGUUCGAGCAGUAACGAAAGUUGGAGUUAGUGAUCCGGCGGUAUGUGAAUGGAAAUGCCGUCGCUCAACGGAUAAAAGCUACCCUGGGGAUAACAGGCUGAUCUCCCCCAAGAGUCCACAUCGACGGGGAGGUUUGGCACCUCGAUGUCGGCUCAUCGCAUCCUGGGGCUGAAUUCGGUCCCAAGGGUUUGGCUGUUCGCCAAUUAAAGCGGUACGCGAGCUGGGUUCAGAACGUCGUGAGACAGUUCGGUCCCUAUCUGUUGCGGGCGCAGGAAUAUUGAGAGGAGCUGUCCUUAGUACGAGAGGACCGGGAUGGACGUACCGCUGGUGCACCAGUUGUUCUGCCAAGGGCAUAGCUGGGUAGCUAAGUACGGACGAGAUAAACGCUGAAGGCAUCUAAGCGUGAAACUCCCCUCGAGAUAAGUGUUCCCAUCCUUCGGGAGUAAGGCCCCUUGUAGACUACAAGGUUGAUAGGUCAGGAGUGGAAGUGCAGUAAUGUAUGGAGCGGACUGAUACUAAUAGGCCGAGGGCUUGACCUU
This 1011-nucleotide ribosomal RNA is filed under the name human gut metagenome. RNAcentral's name for it is "bacterial LSU rRNA". It matches the Rfam family "Bacterial large subunit ribosomal RNA", at positions 1915 to 2925 of the family's 2925-position model. The record is from RNAcentral.